AAUUUACUCAAACAGUACACUGACUGAACUGCUGUGAAGAGAGAACUGAAGAUGAACACCAAGCCGAGCCAGAUAACGAACGAACACGCCCACUGCUGGAGCGCUUCUCGUUCUCGAGUCAAGAACCAGUUGCAUCGGUUGUCGGAUCACCAGUACACUGAACCAACUGAACUGAGAAUCGUUUCUGUCAGACGCAUCUGCGUUUAGGAUCGAUGAGCUGAUGAUACUGCGUAUGCGUGUAAUUUAACAAGAGGAGAAAAUUAAAUGUGUAAACUAUCAAGACAAAACUUUUGCAAAUGGUAAUCUUCCAUGUCUAUGGCGGUUAAAAUAAUAUGAGAUUCAUCUAGUCAAGUGCAAUUUGACCUGCAAAUGCUCUAUAGAAGUGGAUGAUGACGAAGCCUUCAUCCAAAAAUCCACAGAGGAGACCACAGUGGGAAUCUACAUUCUCAAAUUCCGUGACAGAUCAGAUGACAUCGGGAUUGCUCUGGAAGGCCAGAACAUCUUGCAAGGCUUGGACAACUUUGCGUUAGCUAUGGCAAUGCUUUUUGGUCUUAUGUAUGCCUUAAAUCUCAACUACCCACCUGAAAUGAAAAAUACAUUUGAGGUACUGCAGAAGAUAGUCUUCUGUUUUUUAAUAACUUAAUACUGUUCGUUUACUUCUGUAGCACCUACAUAAAAAUGAGUUGUACUCUUAAAAGAAAUGCAUGAAUUUGACUUCUUAUGAUUUAAAAAUUGAAAACAAAAAUGUCAAGGUAUGCUUUUGACAACUUGAUAUUGUUCACCUUUUCCUCUACACCUGUUUUUGUCUUAAUGUUUGUUUUGUUGCAGUUACUGUAUGAAUGGUUUUUACUGUUCACCUUUUCCACGACAUGUUUGACUGUGCAUUGUCUUUUACUUGAAGUGAUGAAUAAAUGAAAUGAGUAAAGUGA
Carassius gibelio (silver crucian carp) is the source of this 929-nucleotide long non-coding RNA. RefSeq lists it as uncharacterized. The transcript has 3 exons. The record is from RefSeq and is a predicted model, not a curated record. NCBI's taxonomy places the organism in Eukaryota, Metazoa, Chordata, Actinopteri, Cypriniformes, Cyprinidae.